This 691-nucleotide ribosomal RNA is filed under the name Dujonia zeylanoides. RNAcentral describes it as "[Candida] zeylanoides partial large subunit ribosomal RNA". The stretch from base 1 to 597 matches the Rfam family "Eukaryotic large subunit ribosomal RNA", at positions 65 to 664 of the family's 3401-position model. Lineage: Eukaryota; Fungi; Ascomycota; Pichiomycetes; Serinales; Debaryomycetaceae. The record is from RNAcentral.
CCCAUGCGGGGUAUGGCCUCAGUUAACGGCGAAGUUGAAGCGGCAAAAGCUCAAAUUUUGAAAUUCUAGCACUUUUCAGUUGUUUCGAGUUUGUAAUUUUGAAGAAAGGUAACUUUUGGUUUUUGGCUCUUGUCUAUGUUCCUUGGAACAGGACGUCACAGAGGGUGAGAAUCCCGUGCGAUGAGAUGCCCAAUUCCAUGUAAAGUGCUUUCGAAGAGUCGAGUUGUUUGGGAAUGCAGCUCUAAGUGGGUGGUAAAUUCCAUCUAAAGCUAAAUAUUGGCGAGAGACCGAUAGCGAACAAGUACAGUGAUGGAAAGAUGAAAAGAACUUUGAAAAGAGAGUGAAAAAGUACGUGAAAUUGUUGAAAGGGAAGGGCUUGAGAUCAGACUUGGUAUUUUGCGUUCCCUUCCUUUUUGGUUGGGUUCCUCGCAGUUUACUGGGCCAGCAUCGGUUUGGAUGGUAGGAUAAUGACAUUGGAAUGUAGCUUUACUUCGGUGAAGUGUUAUAGACUUUGUUGAUACUGCCUAUCUAGACCGAGGACUGCGUCUUUGACUAGGAUGCUGGCGUAAUGAUCUUAAACCGCCCGUCUUAAAACGGGACCAAAAAAAAAAAAAAAGCCCCAACCCCCCCAACCACACCAAAAAAAAAAAGAAAAAAGGCGAAAAGGAACCUGUAGAAAAGCCUAAAGGGA